UACGAAGGGUGCAAGCGUUAAUCGGAAUUACUGGGCGUAAAGCGUGCGUAGGCGGUUCGUUAAGUCUGUCGUGAAAGCCCUGGGCUCAACCUGGGAAUGGCGAUGGAUACUGGCCAGCUAGAGUGUGAUAGAGGAUGGCGGAAUUCCCGGUGUAGCGGUGAAAUGCGUAGAGAUCGGGAGGAACAUCCGUGGCGAAGGCGGCCAUCUGGAUCAACACUGACGCUGAGGCACGAAAGCGUGGGGAGCAAACAGG
This 253-nucleotide ribosomal RNA is filed under the name uncultured bacterium. Its description in RNAcentral is "partial 16S ribosomal RNA". It matches the Rfam family "Bacterial small subunit ribosomal RNA", at positions 524 to 776 of the family's 1533-position model. The record is from RNAcentral.